GAAUGGAAUAUGACGACUUUGCCGAGUUCUAUGGCAACUUGGCAACAAAGGACUUCACCAUCGCGACCACGCUCCUCAUGCCAUGGCUGCACACCUGGGCAGCUGCAGCACCAAACCCAAGCAACAACCCAAAGUAUGAUGUUGUCUCAUGAGAAGUAGUAAAAUUGGGCUUGCGUGCUAGACAUUGCAACUGCUUGCUUGCAUGAUCUGCAGGACUCAAAUGAGGGGGUUGCAACCCCAUAUGGUAAACUUGCUUCAGCAGGCAUGUGUACAGAAGCGAGAAACGGGAGCUGCAGACGGCAUCAUCCACCAAAGCUCUGCCUACGAUGAAGAAAGGUGACAUAAGCAUGAUGCCGCUCUGCCUGAGAUAUGGGUGCCGGUUUGGAAGCCAUUGAGGAUGGAGGCAUAUGUUGGCUACUGGCUCAUAUCACGGGGCAUGACACGUGAAUAGUGACCACUGGUGAGUUGUUCUCUGGGGGAAAUCAUGAUGUGACAGGUUGAUUAAGGCAACUACCCAGGUUACAGGAAGAAGCCGUUGAGGAAGUAUGUUGGUUACUAGCUGAUACACGGAUCUAAGACUUGGUGAGAUGUUCCCAGCUGGGGAAGUCAUGAUAGAAUGGGUUGGUUUUAGGCAAGUAUCCUAGUUCCGACCUGAGUUCGAUUCCCGGGCAUGCUUUUUCUGCUUGGGAGGUGAUAGCUGUGACUACAGGUAUCUACACAGUUACGUUCAUCACCCUGAUUUUGAGGGGGGGUAAUUGUCAUUCAUGUGCAAGCAAACAAGGGCAACUGCAGUUUUUGGAUUUUGUGUCAAAUUACCUCUUGCUGCAUAUAUUCUGUAUGGAGUCUCCUAUACAGGGUUUGGUGUAUUUAACUUCUGAUGGGCAUGUUUGUCUGUCUACAGGGCCCACCCAGCAACCUGCAGCUGCUGUGGACAACACCACAUGCUUUCCCCACCACACAUCAGCACGCAGAGUCAGUGGAAGGUUAAAGCAGUAGUAAGGUGUGUGGCAUAAAACUGCAUUCUAAGUUCCACAUCACAGUCAUUGCAGUUCUUGAUGGUCUGACAAAGGUGCUACUGUAUGCCCCUGCCUGAUCUUUGCUGCAUACAGGCUCACAAGCUGCUUGUGGAGGACUGCUGCUGCAGCAAUGUCUUGUAGUGUUAACUAACGGCGAUAGAGGACUAAUACUAGGCAUGACUACCAGAAGGUGUUAGGGUGGAUAGUGCAUGUGACCUAUGAUGUAGCAUGUUUUGAGGCAAAUUUUGUUGAGAGAUGGAUGAGCUGCAGCUGGGUGCACCCAAUAUGAAACUGUUUGGAGCUGUUUCGAAGUUUCUGCUGCAGCAGCUGCUGCAUACAGGCUCACAAGCCGCGGCUUGUGGAGAAGCUACUGCUAGCAGCAGUGCUGCUGCACUGUACAGUCACUGUACAGACUUGUCUUGGAGUGUUAACUGACGGUGAUGGAGGACUACUUCUAGGCAUGAAUACCAGAAAGUGUUAGGGUGGAUAGAGCACUUCUGAGCUAUAAUGUAGCAUGUUUUGAGGCAAAUUGUUGACGGAUCGAUGAGCUGCAGCUGCAGCAGCCGCUGUUGUGGAAAUGUUUGGUGCUGUUUGGAAGCUGCAGAUUGUUUGGAAGCUGCACCUGCUUCAGCUGAAGCAGGCAAUGCAUAUGGCUUAAUGUUGUUACAUAGCAGGACUUCGGAAUUUCGUAUGCAUGUAGCUGCUGCUAGGCGAUGUGUAUAUGUAAAAUUAUGAAUCCACGCAUACAUGGUCUAUCCCUACCCCUAUGGCAGCCAAACUACGUGUUACAGCCCCUCCCCUAGCAACUGGACUAGUUACUCCUGAGACGGGUUGCGGCCCAGUUGGUACCCCGUAGCGGCCCAGU
RNAcentral lists this long non-coding RNA (1881 nucleotides) under Volvox carteri. Its description in RNAcentral is "long non-coding RNA (VCAR_LNC003446)". Lineage: Eukaryota; Viridiplantae; Chlorophyta; Chlorophyceae; Chlamydomonadales; Volvocaceae. The record is from RNAcentral.